RNAcentral lists this ribosomal RNA (253 nucleotides) under uncultured bacterium. RNAcentral describes it as "partial 16S ribosomal RNA". It matches the Rfam family "Bacterial small subunit ribosomal RNA", at positions 524 to 776 of the family's 1533-position model. The record is from RNAcentral.
UACGGAGGAUCCAAGCGUUAUCCGGAUUUAUUGGGUUUAAAGGGUGCGUAGGCGGAUUUUUAAGUCAGUGGUGAAAGCCUACAGCUUAACUGUAGAACUGCCAUUGAUACUGAUAAUCUUGAGUACAUUUGAAGUGGGCGGAAUGUGCAGUGUAGCGGUGAAAUGCUUAGAUAUUGCACAGAACACCGAUUGCGAAGGCAGCUCACUAAACUGUUACUGACGCUGAGGCACGAAAGUGUGGGGAUCAAACAGG